This 425-nucleotide ribosomal RNA is filed under the name uncultured bacterium. Its description in RNAcentral is "partial 16S ribosomal RNA". It matches the Rfam family "Bacterial small subunit ribosomal RNA", at positions 354 to 796 of the family's 1533-position model. The record is from RNAcentral.
GUGGGGAAUAUUGGACAAUGGGCGCAAGCCUGAUCCAGCCAUGCCGCGUGAAUGAUGAAGGCCUUAGGGUUGUAAAGUUCUUUCGCCAGGGACGAUAAUGACGGUACCUGGAUAAGAAGCCCCGGCUAACUUCGUGCCAGCAGCCGCGGUAAUACGAAGGGGGCUAGCGUUGUUCGGAUUUACUGGGCGUAAAGCGCACGUAGGCGGAUCUUUAAGUCAGGGGUGAAAUCCCGAGGCUCAACCUCGGAACUGCCCUUGAUACUGGAGAUCUUGAGUUCGGGAGAGGUGAGUGGAACUGCGAGUGUAGAGGUGAAAUUCGUAGAUAUUCGCAAGAACACCAGUGGCGAAGGCGGCUCACUGGCCCGAUACUGACGCUGAGGUGCGAAAGCGUGGGGAGCAUACAGGAUUAGAAACCCUUGUAGUCC